This 280-nucleotide ribosomal RNA is filed under the name uncultured bacterium. Its description in RNAcentral is "partial 16S ribosomal RNA". It matches the Rfam family "Bacterial small subunit ribosomal RNA", at positions 28 to 307 of the family's 1533-position model. The record is from RNAcentral.
GACGAACGCUGGCGGCGUGCUUAACACAUGCAAGUCGAGCGGUAAGGCCCUUUCGGGGGUACACGAGCGGCGAACGGGUGAGUAACACGUGGGUGACCUGCCCUCAGCUCUGGGAUAAACCUGGGGAAACCGGGUCUAAUACUGGAUAUGACUCCAUGACGCAUGUUGUGGGGUGGAAAGCCUUGUGCGGCUGAGGAUGGGCCCGCGGCCUAUCAGCUUGUUGGUGGGGUGAUGGCCUACCAAGGCGACGACGGGUAGCCGGCCUCGAGAGGGCGACCGG